CCUUGACAAUGGAUGUUGGUGGAGGUGGGCAAUCUAUGGUGUAUAUGUGCUGAUCAUUGUGAGUUCUGUGUGUAUGGAAGUCGAUUAUGUGUGGUUGUGGUUGUGGUGGUGUUGGUGGUUGGUUGGAAUAGUGGUGGUACGAGCGAAGAUGGUGAGGUGGGAGUGGUGCAGGUGCUGGUUCGUUGGAGCAGGGGGUGGUGUUCGUCACUGGCGCUCGACUCUAAUUUUGGACCUGAAUUUGAUUUUUUGGUGGUGAUUGGGAUGUUGGCUGUGGGGGUGAUGAUAUUGGCGGCACUGGUGAAGUGGUAAUAAUGUUGGUCAUUGGUGUGGCGAUGGUGCGAUUGUUUGUAGGUGGGAUAACGUUGGGUGGGGACGUUUGUGACCAAUCUUUGGUUAAUUGUUAUCAAUUGUUUGAAAU
RNAcentral lists this long non-coding RNA (418 nucleotides) under Olea europaea (common olive). Its description in RNAcentral is "long non-coding RNA (OEUR_LNC004176)". The record is from RNAcentral. Lineage: Eukaryota; Viridiplantae; Streptophyta; Magnoliopsida; Lamiales; Oleaceae.